GGAUUGUAGUCUGCAACCCGACUACAUGAAGCCGGAAUCGCUAGUAAUCGCGGAUCAGAAUGCCGCGGUGAAUACGUUCCCGGGUCUUGUACACACCGCCCGUCACACCAUGGGAGUCGGAAAUGCCCGAAGCCGGUGACCCAACCCGAAAGGGAGGGAGCCGUCGAAGGCAGGUCGGAUGACUGGGGUGAAGUCGUAACAAGGUAUC
Molecule: ribosomal RNA, 208 nt
Filed under: uncultured bacterium
Lineage: Bacteria
Description: partial 16S ribosomal RNA
Rfam family: Bacterial small subunit ribosomal RNA
Source: RNAcentral